AGAGAGAGAGAGAGAGAGAAUUCCUUUGAACACUUUAACGAGAGUGAGAAUUGGGCCAGAAACGAUCCUAACUGUACUCCAGAAUUAUUUAAAGGGGGGUGUUAUUUUUUGACGGCAACGGAAGGUCGAAAGUAGCCGUUAGUUUAUCGUCAGCAAUGGCGGGACAAGAGUCAAGUCUCAUGGAGUCAUGGGUGGACAGUUAACGGAACAUGGGUGAACUGGCAAACGUCGUAAUUCGGAGAAAGAUGUUGGGCUACACAGACGCAUUGAAUCGAUUAAUUUGCUGGCAGUUUCUACAAUUUUG
This 304-nucleotide unclassified non-coding RNA is filed under the name Hevea brasiliensis (rubber tree). The record is from RNAcentral. Lineage: Eukaryota; Viridiplantae; Streptophyta; Magnoliopsida; Malpighiales; Euphorbiaceae.